CUCCCAAGAAGGACUCCCAGACCAUGUAGCCAGAGAAGGCACCUCUGCUGCAAAUGGUUCAACACUCCCCCUAUCGUCUCCAUCCCAGAAGCUAGCGCAGAUAAGAAGGU
Dermochelys coriacea (leatherback sea turtle) is the source of this 110-nucleotide long non-coding RNA. RefSeq lists it as uncharacterized. NCBI's taxonomy places the organism in Eukaryota, Metazoa, Chordata, Testudines, Dermochelyidae. The record is from RefSeq and is a predicted model, not a curated record. The transcript is spliced from 2 exons.